CUGAAAUAUAUUGUUUAGAAAAAUAUGCAUUGAAUUAGGGUGUGUGGAGGGAAGGGAGGUUUGAAUUAAAAAAAAAAUUCCCUUCUCUUCAAAAUAUGAUUCAAAACUACACUGAAGUCCAUUUUGAGGCAAAAACGUAGGAUCAAUUUUUGUUCUCGUGACUAAGCUAUCAGCUGGAAUGAUGAGGCAGGAUGAGUUACUGACAGAGGGCACAGGAUGUAGGAGGGAGUGCAUGGAAAUGGAGGGGUCUGUCACUCCUACUCUGAGACACAAACUCACUGAUCAUGUAUGGAAACAGACAUUGGAGGUUGAAAGACGGGUUCUUAUUCUCCUGCCAAAGACGGCUGGAAGUAAUCUGAAGUGCACAAAGGGGCUGAAACCACUGGCUUCAGUGGAAUAUGAUAUUCUCUGUGCUCCUCAUACUAUGCUGUGCAUGGAGGAAGGUUCCCCAACUCGGCUGGCCUGGAAGAACAAAGAACCGAAUGGCUCCUUGGGACAAUGCUGCGGUAUUACUGCUAGACUGCUGGCCUGACUCUCAAUACUUUCUAUUAGUACGAAUAGCAGUUCCAGUAAGGAUCAUAAGGAAGCAGUAAAUUGGGAAAUACCUGUCAUCAAACUUUUUAUGUUCAAGUCCACAAGAAGAUUAUGUUAAAUAUUUUCAUUCUUCACAUUCCUUUUAUUCCAAUUAGCAACAUACAAAGACUGCACAGAGCCUCCUUUAACUGAGCUAACAAAACAAGCAGAUUCUACAGUAACAAGAAAGGACAAUGAGCAGAUAAAGCCUACCAAGAAAAUACUGGGCUACCCACACGCUUCUUUCCAGACCCAUUCACAUCAAAAGUAAUACCAUGGAAGAAUUUGGCCCACAGUAAUUGUUUGGCAUAUUUGACUACUCAGGGUCACAAGCCCCAGUGAAAAUCAUUAUAUACCAAGUGCUGUACAGAUACAUAUGGCUAGUUUUUGAGUGGCUUUACCCUACUGACACAAUGGAAUAAGAGAUGACAUGACAUGUCAUUCCUCAUACAAAAUUAAAGGAAAGCAGGAACUGCAUGCACUAUACUUUCUCUUCUCAUCUACUUUUCCCUAAGUGGACAUGGAGGGUUUGAAAGAGGGAGAAAACUGGCAAUUCCUUGGCUUCAUACACUCCCAACAUACCAGCCAGUAGAAAGGGAGAAGCUGCAAACUGUUCACAGUUGCAUCAGUUGCUUUGUUUCAGAACAGGGAAGCAGGAAAAUUAAAGUAAAAUCCCAGGACUAGGACUCUGCUAGAUGUGCUGACCAUGGGAAGGGCUUUGAGCUAAAUCUCAGUGUAGACUGUAAGAAGAAAACAUUGUUGGGGAUUAACAACCUAAGGGCAGAGUUUGGCCCAGAAUGCUUAAUGCUUCUUCAUAAAUGGUUAAAAAUCAUGGUUUCUGACUAUGCUAUUAAAAAAGUAGCUUCACUCCCCAUGCUAUAAUAAGAAUGGUUUGCUACAUGAGGGCUAAUUCCUGUUAAAUUGAGCCUGAAGCAAUUAGCCUAUUUUUAACUGUCAGAGUUAAUUGUUAUUUGACCCAAUUAAAG
Long non-coding RNA from Crocodylus porosus (Australian saltwater crocodile), 1559 nucleotides. NCBI's taxonomy places the organism in Eukaryota, Metazoa, Chordata, Crocodylia, Crocodylidae. The record is from Ensembl.